RNAcentral lists this long non-coding RNA (474 nucleotides) under Macaca mulatta (Rhesus monkey). Its description in RNAcentral is "lncRNA (ENSMMUG00000056432.1)". The record is from RNAcentral. Lineage: Eukaryota; Metazoa; Chordata; Mammalia; Primates; Cercopithecidae.
GGUAAAACUACCACACCUAUAAACCUGUCAGAACAGCAAUAUGAAACUAUUAUUUCAUUUGCUUCAUGCAUCAGUGUUGUGACACACAUCAGAGUAAUAGAAGAAACAGGCCUAAAAGAGGUAAAAUCAAGAUUGAAUUCAAAAACGUGUAUAUAUACAUGAAGAAAAAAGAAAAUGGCAUCGUGGACAAUUUAUUCAUCUAUCUGCUCUGCUGAGUCACCCUUGUAGCAAGCCUCAACUUUGUGUUCACUUUCAUGCGACCACCUCCGUAGAGACCAAGAUCACUUGAGCAUAUAUUAUAAAUUCAGGUAAGCUUUAUGCUGAACAUGGACUGCAAAAUAAUCUCUGGUCAAAUGAUAGCUAUUAUUUGAGCCAAUCAUACUCCUCAUACAGAAUUUUAGCUGAGAAGUAAAAGAACAAAUUAGAAUGGGCUAUAAAGUUGAUAUGUCUGGGAGACAGAAAGCAAGCAGGAGC